AACGAACGCUGGCGGCAGGCCUAACACAUGCAAGUCGAGCGCCCCGCAAGGGGAGCGGCGGACGGGUGAGUAACGCGUGGGAACGUACCCUUUGCUACGGAAUAGCCUCGGGAAACUGGGAGUAAUACCGUAUGUGUCCUUCGGGAGAAAGAUUUAUCGGCAAGGGAUCGGCCCGCGUUGGAUUAGGUAGUUGGUGGGGUAAUGGCCUACCAAGCCGACGAUCCAUAGCUGGUUUGAGAGGAUGAUCAGCCACACUGGGACUGAGACACGGCCCAGACUCCUACGGGAGGCAGCAGUGGGGAAUCUUAGACAAUGGGCGCAAGCCUGAUCUAGCCAUGCCGCGUGAGCGAUGAAGGCCUUAGGGUUGUAAAGCUCUUUCAGGGGGGAAGAUAAGGACUGUACCCCCAGAAGAAGCCCCGGCUAACUCCGU
Molecule: ribosomal RNA, 430 nt
Filed under: uncultured bacterium
Lineage: Bacteria
Description: partial 16S ribosomal RNA
Rfam family: Bacterial small subunit ribosomal RNA
Source: RNAcentral